Long non-coding RNA from Hippocampus zosterae (dwarf seahorse), 4632 nucleotides. RefSeq lists it as uncharacterized. NCBI's taxonomy places the organism in Eukaryota, Metazoa, Chordata, Actinopteri, Syngnathiformes, Syngnathidae. The transcript is spliced from 3 exons. The record is from RefSeq and is a predicted model, not a curated record.
UGGGGCUAAAGCUGUGCAAGCUGGAUUAAAUUGGAUCAGUUUUAUGUUGAGCUGUUGGGGUUUAUCCUUCUCCAUGCAUGCUGUGCCCCCUAUUUCAACUGGCCCUAAAUUGUCUGCUGCCACGCACGCUAUAGUAACACACAGCAAAAUGAUACAAUUGUUUCGACAUUUUUCGGCUUGCAUUCUCUCUGGUGACAGAUUAGAAUUGUGGUAAUAUAAUUUUCAGAACUCAACAACCUCAACUCAUGAUGUCACAUCCAGAACAAAACGUUCUAAUUUAAUUGAGCAACAUCAAAGGUAUCCACUUCUAUUAGCAUAAUCUCAAGAGCUUUGCCUCCAUCAUACUCCAAUCUGGGGUCCCACAUUAAACGGAUUUCUUGGAGAUUGCCACACACAAAUCCUAUGGGAGAGAUCUCCAGCUGCUUAAAUUGGAACCCAGCACUCAAGACAAGACGAGGGCCCAAGUUGACACAAGCAGUCUCGUGGAUCCCAGCAGUCAUAUCACACACGCCGAACCAGAUCAGUGAUCAGCUGGAAAAGUGCAUAAGUAAACGUCACCCUCUUGUCUGUGCCUACUCUGCACACCUGAACUCACAUUGACACGCAAAGAUAUGACACGUGAGUCCUCGAGCUCUUAUCUGAAGAACACAUAUGAUAACUUAUUCAUAAGAGUGAAGCAGACCAUAAAUUGCAAGUGGCAUAUGGAUUUUGAUCCCCAAAGCCGAAUAACAGGAGGAGCAACACAUGGCACCACAGAUGUGGCAGCCAUCAAUGACCUGAGAAAGAUCAAGGGCGUAAAAUAAAUCAAAACAACACAUUGUAAAAAUACGUUACAUUGGAACCUUUCCUCUUCUGUCAACGCACCAGGAGCACUCACUACAAUGUCACAGGCUUGAUAUGGCAUCGUAGGUCUUUUUUUUUUUUUUUGUAAACGUGUUUUUGGAGACCUUAGCUAUGAGUGACUUUUGCGGUAAUGGCUUAUAUUCUGACGCUGAAUUUUGCCAAUAGUGUAUUCUGUUUUGACGGGUGCUGCGUUUUCAAGGGCAGCAUUGAUAAUGUGGCGAUCAUUAUCUAUUUCCCGCAGGUAAUCAUCAAUUGUCACAUUGCAGAUGUCAGCAGGCUGAAUGCGCUCUCGCGAAUGGCCCUGUGAUGAAUGGAAACAAAGCGCUAGACUGUGGCCGCUGCCUCUGUACUCGCUGUCAGCCCAAUAACAGACAGACAGGCAGGAGGACAUGAGGGCAGUGUGGGGUGUGCAGAUGCCUGUAACGUAUUGUCCAAUGUAUGUAGAGUAUAUAUUGUCCUGUGUUGUAUUAUUGUCCAAUGUCUGUUGUGUAUUGUAUACUGUAAGUAUUGUUCAUGGGGGGCCUGUCCUCUCAGACAAGUUCCUCCGAUGGGAGACCAAAUAAAGAGUCAAAUCAAAUCAAUAUACAGAACUUUUUUCUAAAACUGGGCUAUGGGGCGCUCAUUAUGGAGACCUCAGAAUCUUGCCUGGCAACAACUUAAGCAGAGAUGGGCAACUUAAUUGCUGGAGGAGGGCGCAAUUUUUCAUCACUUGAGAGGGGUGUGGGGGGACAAGCCAGGACCUGCCUUAAAGGUUUUAAUGAAGCACUAAACAUUUAUAAUGAUGGAUAUGCUGAAAGCAAAACUACACUCUCUUGAAGAGUCUUAUGUGCUUUUGACCCUUCUUUGGGGGGAUUUUGAGGAGGCGAGAGUUGAAAGAUUCUCACCAGAGCAGAGGUCAGCACUCUGGACAGCACCACCAAGACAAGCCUCCCUGCCAAUCAAGUCAAAGACUGCCGGCUGUCAGCUUUGCACCAGGCAGCAUUAGCAGGGCACAUCUCUGACACUCUGUGGAGACUUAACCUCAGCUUAUGUGCAACUUCAUCAUGUGUUACAUCCUCUCCAGCUGGAUUUCACUUCUGCCUUUGGACUCAUGUGUCAAAGGUCCUAUUAUUGUCACACUCCGCAUCCAGACCACGGCCUCUCACUUUAUUGUCGCUGACAUUUAUAUCAGCAAAAUUCAGUUAUAUGUUCAUGGUUCAUUACAUUUCAUAUGUAAUCCUUUCAUCUGAAGUUGACUACUGUACAUAUAAUAGUAGACUGAGUCUGUAGGUUUGUCAUCAAUUAAUGUUAUCCAACAGUCCUGCAGCAGGGCAGGGAGUGAAAUUUAGUUCACUUUCAGACAUUUCAGACAUUCAGACAUCUAUCUUCGAAAGUGCUUCUCCUCCCAAUCCAUUACAAUUGUUUGAUUUUACUAUCUUUUAUUGCAUACUUCUGGAGAUGGUAGAAUCAACCUUUACUUUUCAACAUUUUUAGCGGGUAAAAUCUGAAUAUACCAAUAUCUAGUCUGCUCAAUAAUAAAACAAGGUCCUACAUACAAUCUUCAACCCAUACAGUAUUUAAUAACAAUGAUAAUUCAACUGAAAUUGGGGAAAACGUGCAAUGAUUAAAUAUGAAUUGAAAGGCAAGAAUUUUCCAAAGGUGAACCAUUAACAAACAAUUUUCCCUCUAACAAGGGAAACAUUAAAACUACACACAUCAUGGAUAAUAACGAGGUGUAAUUGAAAAGCUCCAUGGGGUCUGCUCAAAUUGAGGAGAUUAUACGCACAUGACCUAGAAAACUUUAGCUUAUUCUUUGAACAGCUCGCUGCAUUGACAACUUUUGAGGCGGUGGAGGAAUGAAAAGGGAAAAUAAAGAAUGCAGGCACGAGAGAAGUAUACUGGGUGCCGGGGAAGGUUUUUGUGUGAAGGAUUUAGAGGAAAUGAUUGAAAAUGCAUGCAAGAAAAGAAUGCUUGUCGCCUUGACAAAAUUCGUUUGGCUAUUUAUUUUGGCAAAGUCCAAGAAAAUACAAGACAAGGAUGCACAUCUUUGGGUUAGAUUCCCUCAACUGCAGAACCGCAGAUUUAUUUUAAAUGUGGUACUUAUUUGAGAGGUAUUUAAUGUACAAAUGCUUGAUUCAAAUUUUCAUUUGCUGUUCAACUAUAAAGACUCGAAAAUGUGGAUUUUUGUUUGUCUUAUCCUGUACAGUUAUUCUAAUUUAGCGAUUUGCUCUUUUCAACUCAAUAUAUGUCAUGAUCCUGUUCUUGUGUUUCACCAGGAGGUGGCAGUAGAAGGCUUCUCUUGACGCGUGCACACCUGCUACCAAUUUGCUCAUCAUGAUUGAAGCCACUGCCAAGAUCAUGUCUCUUGUCGGAUUAUUGACCUUGUUGCUGCUCUUGCUCAAGUGUUGUUUUCUUGACCUCUCGAUCUCGCCAUAGUGUUUUUUUUACGCUCUAGUCUCUCGCCUGACUUGGUAAGUAUUUGUUUUUUUUUUACUUUGACCAUGCUCAUGUUUUUGUUUUCAUGAAAUUAAACUUUUGUUAUUUCGUUCAUAUCUCAGAGUUUCUUUUUCCUAGGCUUUGCAAGCGCUUUUUGUUCCUGUAUAGUUUUCCUGGUUCUUUUGACCAGUGAUUUCUGUUGACACUUUGUCUAUACGUUUUUGUAUUAAAUACUUUUGUACGGACUUUUGUUUGAGUUCACGAUUGUGUGAUCCGAUCGCCAUUCAGUUCAUUCCCGAGCUGUGUCAAUAGGUUGCUUAGUUUGACUAAAUGCCCAUUUUCAAGAACUGCAGCUUUUAAAUGCUACUUGGGGUUGCUAAUGAUAAGAAUUAAAAGAGUUUACCUCACUCAAUGUCACAACACUGUGAUCACCCAUCCAAUGUAUGUGCACAUCUCUACUUAUGCCCACACCAACCUCCAAAAAUAUACCGAUCACCCCAAUACUUUGUAUUUUAUGGACAAAGCGUUUUCCUCAUUAAGCAACAUGAGCUUCUGUUGUGAGCGCCAAUUUGGAGAGGAAAAUGCUCUAUCCAUAAAAUUGACCAUAUUCGGGCAAUCAUUCUAAUAUUCUCAGCGGCCGAUGUCAACAUACAUUUUGGUGACUGAUCACAAUUUUCAGACAGAAGACAACGUAUGGGUCUUGUACGUCACGUAUUUCGAUUGUACCCGGCACAAUCACAGUACCGCAAGUGAGAAGGGACAUAUUACAUUGGGAUCAGCACUGAAAGAGGCAUUUGAACCGGUUUCACAAAAUAAACCACAGGAGCCACAAACCCUUUGGUCAGGUAAAAUGCCUGCCACAAGCACCAAUUGAACUAGAUGGCCCAUUGGAAGUGAUGUUAGAUGAAUAGCAAGUGAUGUCAGACGAUCUGCCAUCAUGGAUGUGGCCAUCAUAUUAGAAAUCCGCAAUUACCGGAAAUAAUAAUGGUAAAACUGAGUUUGAAUGACAUAGUACAAUCAAAAUUAAAGACUAUUGACGAAAUGAGUAGAGUGUGAUAGCAUCAAAAGUAUGGCAUAAAGUUGUCUACUGUCUAAAGAAUAUUCAUGACAAAUGCACUCCAUUCUUACCGUAAUGCCUAUUAAGGUGACAAACGUCCAAUAAAGAAUGUUUUCCAAGCUCAACUUCCAGCCCUCUUGGCCACACUGUCUUUUGAUUUACUCAACUUGCAUGCAGAUAAUUACCGCCGCACAGAUCAGUAAUUAUGUACAAGAAACAGCACAUGUAUCUGUGGCUGGAAAUAGUAAUACGAGCAUCCCAAGGGAAGUGGGAUGAAGCCACUGACUUUGCAGCUUCAGACAGUCUUUCUACAUUAG